AGGAGUGACUGUCCCUGUCCUCUGCAGUUGUUGCCAGAGAGCAAUUUGCCCUUGAAUCCAAUCUACCAUCCCUAGACUGACAAUUUCAUUUCCCUCCCAGCCCACCCCCUGCCCCGAAGAUCUGCUGAAGCCGCGAGUUCCAGCUGAAGAGCCGGCAGGAUAAUAGUUAUUUGUCAAGAAGCCUGCUUACCUGUUGACGGGACCUCGUAUGCUCCAUUGGAUUAUUCUAGGGGUCCAUUUGAAGGGAAAGAUCCAGAAACAUCUUCAUCAAUACUUGCAGAGGCUAGGAGCAGUAUCGUCCUAAUUCCUGACUAUGGGGGCAGGAAAUUCCAGGCCACAAAGGUUGCUAACAUUUUUACCUGAUUUGCCUCCGGAUUUAAAGGACUAUUGAGCACCUGGCCGGGCCACUCAGGUUUGAGUAGAGGGAGCCUGGACACCGCCUCUCAGUGGAGGAAUGUGACCAUCCCAUGGCAGGGAGAGCAUCCGGGAAGGAGACGUGCUGAUGUGGCCAUCGUUGGGGAAUAGAACUUCUCACAAUUAAAUCUCAGUACGAACUGUUAAGAUGGUCAAUGAAGCUACAAUUA
Puma concolor (puma) is the source of this 584-nucleotide non-coding RNA. The record is from RefSeq and is a predicted model, not a curated record. Lineage: Eukaryota; Metazoa; Chordata; Mammalia; Carnivora; Felidae.